Molecule: non-coding RNA, 74 nt
Organism: Glycine max (soybean)
Lineage: Eukaryota; Viridiplantae; Streptophyta; Magnoliopsida; Fabales; Fabaceae
Source: Rfam
UUCAACUGUGAUGAGCCUUCAGACCUGUAAUGAUUUUCGGGUAUGAUCACAAUCAUCUAAGGAACCGAGUUAUG